CAGUAGCCGCGGUAAAACGUAGGGUGCAAGCGUUAAUCGGAAUUACUGGGCGUAAAGCGUGCGCAGGCGGUUAUAUAAGACAGAUGUGAAAUCCCCGGGUUCAACCUGGGAACUGCAUUUGUGACUGUAUAGCUAGAGUACGGCAGAGGGGGAUGGAAUUCCGCGUGUAGCAGUGAAAUGCGUAGAUAUGCGGAGGAACACCGAUGGCGAAGGCAAUCCCCUGGGCCUGUACUGACGCUCAUGCACGAAAGCGUGGGGAGCAAACAGGAUUAGAUACCCCUGUAGUCCCUGUCUCUUAUAC
Molecule: ribosomal RNA, 301 nt
Filed under: uncultured bacterium
Lineage: Bacteria
Description: partial 16S ribosomal RNA
Rfam family: Bacterial small subunit ribosomal RNA
Source: RNAcentral